This 75-nucleotide transfer RNA is filed under the name Candidatus Phycosocius bacilliformis. RNAcentral's name for it is "tRNA-Val". It matches the Rfam family "tRNA". From Rfam's summary of the family: Transfer RNA (tRNA) molecules are approximately 80 nucleotides in length. Their secondary structure includes four short double-helical elements and three loops (D, anti-codon, and T loops). Further hydrogen bonds mediate the characteristic L-shaped molecular structure. tRNAs have two regions of fundamental functional importance: the anti-codon, which is responsible for specific mRNA codon recognition, and the 3' end, to which the tRNAs corresponding amino acid is attached (by aminoacyl-tRNA synthetases). tRNAs cope with the degeneracy of the genetic code in two manners: having more than one tRNA (with a specific anti-codon) for a particular amino acid; and 'wobble' base-pairing, i.e. permitting non-standard base-pairing at the 3rd anti-codon position. The record is from RNAcentral. RNAcentral also lists the same sequence under 6 other names. Lineage: Bacteria; Pseudomonadati; Pseudomonadota; Alphaproteobacteria; Caulobacterales.
GGGCGAUUAGCUCAGCGGAAGAGCACUGCAUUCACACUGCAGGGGUCACUGGUUCAAUCCCAGUAUCGCCCACCA